RNAcentral lists this unclassified non-coding RNA (332 nucleotides) under soil metagenome. RNAcentral's name for it is "partial contains 5.8S ribosomal RNA, internal transcribed spacer 2, and large subunit ribosomal RNA". The stretch from base 1 to 120 matches the Rfam family "5.8S ribosomal RNA", at positions 35 to 154 of the family's 154-position model. The record is from RNAcentral.
GAUGAAGAACGUAGCGAAAUGCGAUAAGUAAUGCGAAUUGCAGAAUUCAGUGAGUCAUCGAAUCUUUGAACGCACAUUGCGCCCGCCAGUAUUCUGGCGGGCAUGCCUGUUCGAGCGUCAUUUCAACCCUCAAGCACAGCUUGGUGUUGGGACUCGCGUUAAUUCGCGUUCCCCAAAUUGAUUGGCGGUCACGUCGAGCUUCCAUAGCGUAGUAGUAAAACCCUCGUUACUGGUAAUCGUCGCGGCCACGCCGUUAAACCCCAACUUCUGAAUGUUGACCUCGGAUCAGGUAGGCAUACCCGCUGAACUUAAGCAUAUCAAUAAGCGGAGGA